CCAAUUUAGAACAUUUGCUUUUAUGGGUGAAACAAAUCUCUGCGUGGUCUCAUGAUCAAGAACCUGCAUUUUUGAGGCUUCGUCUACAAUUGAAUUCCAUGUACACUCCUCUUCUCUCGUUCCUUGCCCUGAUACUGACUCUGCUUCCUCUGUAGUCCUUAGAGAGGUCAAUUGCGAAGCACCAUCAAGGACAAAUGUUCUAAAUUGGUCCGACCGGUCGAAC
Molecule: unclassified non-coding RNA, 223 nt
Filed under: Hevea brasiliensis (rubber tree)
Lineage: Eukaryota; Viridiplantae; Streptophyta; Magnoliopsida; Malpighiales; Euphorbiaceae
Source: RNAcentral